GAUGAACGCUGGCGGCGUGCUUAACACAUGCAAGUCGAACGAAGCAAUUUAGCGGAAGUUUUCGGAUGGAAGCUAGAUUGACUGAGUGGCGGGCGGGUGAGUAACGCGUGGGUAACCUGCCUCACACUGGGGGACAACAGUUAGAAAUGACUGCUAAUACCGCAUAAGCGCACAGGACCGCAUGGUCUAGUGUGAAAAACUCCGGUGGUGUGAGAUGGACCCGCGUUUGAUUAGCUAGUUGGUGGGGUAACGGCCUACCAAGGCGACGAUCAAUAGCCGGCCUGGGAGGGUGACCGGCCACAUGGGGACUGCGGCACGGCCCAAACUCCUACGGGAGGCAGCAGUGGGGAAUAUAGCACAAUGGGGGAAACCCUGAUGCGGCGACGCCGCGUGAGUGAAGAAGUAUUUCGGUAUGUAAAGCUCUAUCAGCAGGGAAGAAAAUGACGGUACCUGACUAAGAAGCCCCGGCUAACUACGUGCCAGCCGCCGCAGUAA
RNAcentral lists this ribosomal RNA (495 nucleotides) under uncultured bacterium. RNAcentral's name for it is "partial 16S ribosomal RNA". It matches the Rfam family "Bacterial small subunit ribosomal RNA", at positions 28 to 523 of the family's 1533-position model. The record is from RNAcentral.